GAUUGCCGAAGUUUGACAACCGUCUGCUCCAUCCUGUUCAGCGCUGGUGUGUUCGCUUCGCUUUCCGCUCCAUUCUGCCAGCAUUCGAAGCGUGUCUCCCGUGUUCCCCUACUUUAGCUCUCAGGCAGUACAAAACUCACAUUCAGAAUGGCAGAUAACGAGGAUCUUUUAGACUAUGAGGAGGAGGACCAGACCGAGCAGGUGGUGGCGGAGACCACGGAACAGCCGAAGAAGGACGUGAAGGGUACUUACGUAUCGAUUCACAGCUCCGGUUUCCGUGAUUUUCUGCUGAAGCCUGAAAUUCUGCGCGCCAUUGUCGACUGUGGUUUCGAGCAUCCCUCCGAAGUGCAACACGAAUGUAUUCCGCAGGCGGUGCUUGGUAUGGACAUUCUGUGCCAGGCCAAGUCCGGUAUGGGAAAGACGGCCGUGUUUGUGCUUGCCACGCUGCAGCAGCUGGAGCCGACCGAGAACGUGCCGUACGUGCUGGUCAUGUGCCACACGCGCGAGCUCGCUUUCCAGAUCAGCAAGGAGUACGAGCGGUUCUGCAAGUACAUGCCCACCAUCAAGGUGGCCGUGUUCUUCGGCGGGCUGCCGAUCCAGAAGGAUGAGGAAGUGCUGAAAACGACGACCCCACACAUCAUCGUCGGAACACCGGGCCGCGUGCUGGCGCUCAUCCGCAACAAGAAGCUGAACCUGAAGAACUUGAAACAUUUCAUCCUCGACGAGUGCGACAAAAUGCUCGAACAGUUGGAUAUGCGGCGCGACGUCCAGGAGAUUUUCCGUAACACACCCCACGGAAAGCAAGUGAUGAUGUUCUCCGCCACGCUGAGCAAAGAAAUUCGCCCAGUGUGCAAAAAGUUCAUGCAAGAUGUAAAUACCACCACUAGUUCUACUACUUCUACUUCCUCAUCUACCUCUACCACUACUACUACUACUGCUACUCGUAAUGUCAAUAGGCGAAAGGAAAGUUACUGUGUCGAUGGGAAAAGUUUGCCGAAAAGUUGUCAUUCCAGUACGCUGUGGUUGGCCAGUACGUACUCCACCAUCGUCGCUGGUGUUGCUGCUGCUGUGUCGAUGCCGUCGUCAUCGUCGGACGCGCAGUGCCUUAUUAAAUCGUACCAAAACACUAAAUCGAUUCACCAUCUCUGGCCGAUCGCGGCAACCUAAAAGCAUGCUAGAUAUGCCAACCCGUGUAAAAAAACAUAACCAAACACACUCCUCCGAGAGCUAUUCGCGUGAAGCCCAUGCAGCCGUGCUUUGGAUGGAUGUAACCACCUACACCAAAGCGCACACUGUUCCUUCUCAAAUGUUCGACUCCGUCCCUGCUGUGCCAUGGGGCGAGAGGGAGUCCUUCGAGAAAUAUGAAGCGUUCGAGCAACCGAUUGAGAAGGAAGCGAAACAAACGGUAAGGGAUGCGGAGCUGUUUUGCUCGGCAAACGUUGAAGAAAGCUGCUUCAACGUUGGCCACCUAGAAACGUGUGCCUACUUCAACGGUCUCUAUGCAAUGGUGUUUAAAAUGUAACCAACCCCGUAAACCACUACCAACCCCGAUAAUACAAAACGAUCUAGUAUUUCUGUAAAUCCCAACUACCCGAGCAACCGUAACCGAGCACGUACUGUGUUUAAAUACCAUCGAAAUCGUUCACACCUUGCAUUCGCGGUCUUCUGUCCGUCGUCGUACAAUACUUCCGUCGUGAACAGAUCAACAAAUGCGAGAACCUCUUUUCCAAUGGAUUUCGUUGCCCGUCCGCUUCGCAUUCACAAAGUUGCAUAAAUGUACCAAAAUGCAACUGUCCUAUAAAAAAAUCCCCUACAAAAGAGGUCGCAGCGCCGCAACAGAAUAUGCACCUAGAGUUGCAUUGAAAAAAAAAAAAGAAGAAAAUAUCAAUUCAAGCCACAUGUGCGUGCUGUUCGUGGGACGCGCACCCGCAAUCGGAACGAAGCGAAUGAUGUCUGUCGAGAGAGUCGCCCGCCCUCCCCCCGUGUGCCCGUGGUGCGACGGACCGUUUGGCAAAUAGAUCCGAUCGUUCUCUCUGUUGCUGUUGCAUCUACCGAAGCAUCCAACCGAGUCGCAGCGAAGGAGCCGAGCAGAAAUUACAGGACCUUCCGCGAGCAAUAGAGCGCUGGUGGGG
Anopheles merus is the source of this 2132-nucleotide RNA transcript. It is a transcript of the gene named ATP-dependent RNA helicase WM6, with no coding region annotated. The record is from RefSeq and is a predicted model, not a curated record. NCBI's taxonomy places the organism in Eukaryota, Metazoa, Arthropoda, Insecta, Diptera, Culicidae. The transcript is spliced from 5 exons.